Canis lupus familiaris (dog) is the source of this 3462-nucleotide long non-coding RNA. RefSeq lists it as uncharacterized. NCBI's taxonomy places the organism in Eukaryota, Metazoa, Chordata, Mammalia, Carnivora, Canidae. The transcript is spliced from 2 exons. The record is from RefSeq and is a predicted model, not a curated record.
GUCACAGUCCUCCUGCAUUACCCACCAGCUGCCCAGUGUUUGAUGCCAGAUGGACUUGUCGUCCCUCAUCAGAGCUCAUCAGAGUAUGCUAAGGAUGACAUUCAUAACCUUCCGCAGGAGGCAGUGCUCUCCAGCUUCUCAUUAUUGUCAUUACUUCACCACAUUGACAGCACUGCCCUCCACCGUGCCCAGCGGGCACCAUGCUGUCUAAUGGGCAAAGUACUCCCAGACCGCAUCCUCUCAUUGGAUCUUCUGCUCAGCCCUCUGACUCAGAGCCAGGUGAUUAUUUCAGGUGAUGAGUGAGGAAAUAGGCUCAGAGGGGCUAAGCAGCCUGCCCAGGGUCACACAGGAUUAGCGGGAGAGCUGGCUCUAAACCACGCUGUGCCCCAUGUGGGACAGUGACCUAGGUUAGGUAUGGGGACAGCCAGGUCCUAGCAUAACGGCUCAGUACCCUUCCGAGCAGGAGGGUAUGGUGCAGGGCUCUCUGCAUCUCUGCAUCUCUAUCUGCAGGCGCAGCCCACUGCAGAAAACUCCUGCCCAGCCACUUCAUUCCCAGGUCCGUGGCUCAGGUCACCUGUCUGCACUGUCACCAGCUAACUGAUGUGGCCAGAGAGAUGGCUGUGAAAGCGCCCCCAAAUCAUCAGUGAUGACCGCCUUCGGAUGAGCCCUCUGAAAAGGGAGAUCGUGUCUGAAAUCGACGAAUGUGUGUAAAGCCUCUGGUGUGCUUGGUCUGAUGAGGUGCUACAGCCAAGAGCAAGAUGAAGAGGGGUGGUAUCCCCCCUCCUCUGUGAGCAAACAGACUAUGGGCCAGGCGGGAUGAGUGACAGACUGUGGGGACCUGGGAGGAGCGAGGGAGCCAUAGAUGCUCAUUGAUUCUGGCUGGCUCUGCAGGUGUGUGUGAGCAUCCCUGAGCGCUGUGCCUCCUUGCAUCUGACCUGACGCUCAGUUCAACCAGUAAGACCUUUCUAGAGGCCGGGGGUGCAGGCUUGGCCAGCACACACCUACCUCCUCACCAUUUGCCGCCUCCACACCCUCCUCCAGCACCUUCUAGGGCUCUGCUUCUGCCUUCCCCUCCUCCACCCAGUGGGUCCCUACUUGUCUGCCAAGGCCCAGUCAUUCCUAUAUGACCCCGUGCAGCCCCUCCUGUCCCCCAGAUAGCUCUUGUCUCCUCCUCUGGGUUUGCUUCCAUGUCACUCUAGGCACUGACUAUAAACCACUGAGCUCGCCUAUGCCCAAGUCUGUCUCCCCACUCCCAAAGUAUGGCAGUGCCUGGGGGCAAGUCCACGUCUGGUCACCUCAGAGUGCCCAGGCUACCCAGCCCUGCAGACAGUCUCGUGCUCAGGGAGGAGUCUGCAGGGUGGAUGUAUGAGGGCCAGUGUCGGUGCUCAGGGGCGUGGCCAUGCCAGGAUCUGGGACAGGCCUGCACAGGGCAAGGUGUGUCUCCAUGGGCAGAUGUCCCAUCAUUAUCUCUGGGGUAGUAAGCUGGGCAUGAGUGGUGUCUGGGACUCUCUGGGGGGAUGACCGGACAUGCACCUCUCACCUUGGUCAGGGUCUGAGAGCAGCUUCAUUGGCCCCUGAGAGUGCUUGAUGUCCACACAGAGGCGGUUCACACUCUGUCCAGGCAGCAUCAGAAUGACCGGAGGCGCCUGGAUGGGGGCUGGGACAACAGGUGUGCUUCCUAAGGCAGGUAGGGUGGGCUAGGAGGCAAGGACAAGGAGGGGGCGUUGAGGGAAGCUGGCAACUUACCUGGAGAUGAGGUUACCUUGGCUCGUUCUGAAAGAAGAAGAAGUCGAGGUUAAGGGAGCCCCUUCCCCGGGGUGGGGGGGCUACUGAAAGAUAGAGACCCGGAUGCGUGUGGCCAGGGGUCUCUCAACUUCAACACUGGGAAACCCACGUGACAAGUCUGCAGAGUUCCCCGAAGCUUUCCUCUCCCAGAGUCUCCCUGUUACAGGGUCAGAAGCUACUGCAGGGACUCUGGCCGGAGCGACAUCUCUGGCUCUUAAAUCCUCACCUUGAAGCACUUCACCGGGAAUGGAGGGGGCUGGUGGCGCCAAAGCAGGCAUUAGUGCAGGGACAGCCAGAAACAGAAAGGAAGGGGACAAUGAGGAUUGAGAGCAAUGAGCACGCCACCCACCCAGCCCCGCAACCCCUGCCACACUAGAAGAGUCUCUGUAAUGAGAUUUGCAAACAAAAGCACAUGCUAUAAGGGAAGAUGGAGGGGACACAGGGCCUUGCCUUGCUCUGCACUGUUUCUGAGUCCAGAUUUGGAAAUCAGAAACAGCUCAAGGGUUCACGGUUGACUUUGGAAAUGGAGGAAGCCUUCCCUUUCUAGAAGGUUCCAUCCUGAGCCAGCCUCCAGAGUGUAAUAAAUCCAAUUCAGUGAAAAUAAAGGCACGUUAUGUCAUGUCAGGCCCCACAGCGACUCUCCCUGGUUUGUGUCCAGCUGUGUGCUUUGUGCUUUACCUCUCCAACUCUAUGGCCCUGUUAAAUGAUCAUCUUGGGGAAAGUAGACCCUCAGAGGGUCAGAAAGCGGCUUACCCAACAUCAUGUCUGGUUCCCCAGGCGUAUGGUAGAGUGGAUAAAGAGGAGCAUUAGGAGGUCCUCGGAGUCUGGAGUCUCUCCAUGGGUCACUAGGUAUCCUCCUGGAAGGUCCAGCUUUGGAAAAGUUGACACAUGCAGUCUUCUCUCAAGUAGUGUCAUGGGUCCCCAAAACUGGGGUUCUGGGGCCCAGUCCAGGAGAGGGAUGUGGAGAGGGCACAUGGCUCCCCUCCCUACACUCAUCAUUCUGGGAGCCUUUCCCUCCAUGGCCAGGAGAAAUUCAAAGUGGGAACAAUGGACCCUUCUUGAAUUCCCGCACCCCCUGCCACUGGGACAUAAGCCCCCGCCCGCCAGCCCCCAAGUCAAAGUACCUUGUCCUCUAUAGCCUCUUCUUUCAGUGAGGACAGAGUCUGCAUAGAUGCCUCCUAAUCAGAUAUAACUAGACUUGAGUUCCAGCCCUGCCAACCGGGCUAGAGAACCAGGCAAAUCACUCUCCCAACAAUCAGGGCAGAGUCUUGUAUGUGACUGGGGUUCUGUCAAUCUACCCCCACCCCCAUCCCUUUCCUCCUUUGUCACCUGUUUUUCUGUGCAUUGUGUCUCCCACAGGAAAUCUAGAGAAAGAAUGAUGACCUGGAAAUCAGAGGAAUGCGGAUUUGUUUCUUGGAUAUACCUUUCUGGGGUCCCCAGCGGAACAGGGAUUGUGUUCCUAAGCACCCAGGACAGGACCUGAGUGCAGACGAUGCCCCCUCCUGGCAGCAGGGCUGGGCUGGAGAGGCCCUGGCCAGCGACUUCAGGGGCCGGUGCCUUAGGCCCUGUGUCAGCCAACCAUCCCCCAGCCCAGCCUUUGAGGGAAUUAGGCUCUUACUGGUAUAAAAGUUCUUGUGUUUGUUUCCUGGAUAAAGCAAAAAGAAAGAAAAGCAAAUA